This 254-nucleotide ribosomal RNA is filed under the name uncultured bacterium. RNAcentral's name for it is "partial 16S ribosomal RNA". It matches the Rfam family "Bacterial small subunit ribosomal RNA", at positions 524 to 776 of the family's 1533-position model. The record is from RNAcentral.
CACGUAGGGGGCGAGCGUUGUCCGGAUUUAUUGGGCGUAAAGAGCUCGUAGGCGGCUAAGUAAGUCGGGUGUGAAAACUCCAGGCUCAACCUGGAGACGCCACCCGAUACUGCUUUGGCUAGAGUCCGGUAGGGGAGCAUGGAAUUCCUGGUGUAGCGGUGAAAUGCGUAGAUAUCGAGAGGAACACCUGCGGCGAAGGCGGGUUGCUGGGCCGACACUGACGCUGAUGCGCGAAAGCCAGGGGAGCGAACGGA